GGGUGCUUUUGGUGUUCGACCAAAAGCAGUUCGAAAGAUUUGCUGGCGGUAGAAAAUCAAAAACCCCGAAUGAACUGUAAAUUCAAACGAGGUUUUAGAGAUGUACCUAGACAAUACAAAUCUUAGCCUCUAUCUCGAUUUAUUUCAAUGCAAAAUUGAAGGAGG
RNAcentral lists this antisense RNA (165 nucleotides) under Vibrio vulnificus. RNAcentral's name for it is "sok antitoxin (CssrC)". It matches the Rfam family "sok antitoxin (CssrC)". Rfam says of the family: Also identified in Shigella as CssrC. Lineage: Bacteria; Pseudomonadati; Pseudomonadota; Gammaproteobacteria; Vibrionales; Vibrionaceae. The record is from Rfam by way of RNAcentral.